AGAGUUUGAUCCUGGCUCAGGACGAACGCUGGCGGCGCGCCUAACACAUGCAAGUCGAACGAGCGAGAGAGAGCUUGCUUUCUCGAGCGAGUGGCGAACGGGUGAGUAACGCGUGAGGAACCUGCCUCAAAGAGGGGGACAACAGUUGGAAACGACUGCUAAUACCGCAUAAGCCCACAGCUCGGCAUCGAACAGAGGGAAAAGGAGCAAUCCGCUUUGAGAUGGCCUCGCGUCCGAUUAGCUAGUUGGUGAGGUAAUGGCCCACCAAGGCGACGAUCGGUAGCCGGACUGAGAGGUUGAACGGCCACAUUGGGACUGAGACACGGCCCAGACUCCUACGGGAGGCAGCAGUGGGGAAUAUUGCACAAUGGGGGAAACCCUGAUGCAGCGACGCCGCGUGGAGGAAGAAGGUCUUCGGAUUGUAAACUCCUGUUGUUGAGGAAGAUAAUGACGGUACUCAACAAGGAAGUGACGGCUAACUACGUGCCAGCAGCCGCGGUAAAACGUAGGUCACAAGCGUUGUCCGGAAUUACUGGGUGUAAAGGGAGCGCAGGCGGGAAGACAAGUUGGAAGUGAAAUCUAUGGGCUCAACCCAUAAACUGCUUUCAAAACUGUUUUUCUUGAGUAGUGCAGAGGUAGGCGGAAUUCCCGGUGUAGCGGUGGAAUGCGUAGAUAUCGGGAGGAACACCAGUGGCGAAGGCGGCCUACUGGGCACCAACUGACGCUGAGGCUCGAAAGUGUGGGUAGCAAACAGGAUUAGAUACCCUGGUAGUCCACACCGUAAACGAUGAUUACUAGGUGUUGGAGGAUUGACCCCUUCAGUGCCGCAGUUAACACAAUAAGUAAUCCACCUGGGGAGUACGACCGCAAGGUUGAAACUCAAAGGAAUUGACGGGGGCCCGCACAAGCAGUGGAGUAUGUGGUUUAAUUCGACGCAACGCGAAGAACCUUACCAAGUCUUGACAUCCCUUGACGAACAUAGAAAUAUGUUUUCUCUUCGGAGCAAGGAGACAGGUGGUGCAUGGUUGUCGUCAGCUCGUGUCGUGAGAUGUUGGGUUAAGUCCCGCAACGAGCGCAACCCUUACUGUCAGUUACUACGCAAGAGGACUCUGGCAGGACUGCCGUUGACAAAACGGAGGAAGGUGGGGAUGACGUCAAAUCAUCAUGCCCUUUAUGACUUGGGCUACACACGUACUACAAUGGCGUUAAACAAAGAGAAGCAAGACCGCGAGGUGGAGCAAAACUCAGAAACAACGUCCCAGUUCGGACUGCAGGCUGCAACUCGCCUGCACGAAGUCGGAAUUGCUAGUAAUCGUGGAUCAGCAUGCCACGGUGAAUACGUUCCCGGGCCUUGUACACACCGCCCGUC
Molecule: ribosomal RNA, 1369 nt
Filed under: uncultured bacterium
Lineage: Bacteria
Description: bacterial SSU rRNA
Rfam family: Bacterial small subunit ribosomal RNA
Source: RNAcentral